AGAGAGAGAGAGAGAGAGUUGGUCUUGUGUGCUAUUAAGAGCACAGAGGUCUGCGUGCUCCUAAGCCAUUUUCGAUGAUGGAGCUUCCGAAUCGAUGAUCGGCUCCAUUAGACUUAAUCUAGCGUAUUUGAACAAUCUAGAAAAUAAUUUUUGUGAUUUUUCUGUAUCAUUUUCCUAGUAAUCGAAAGGGUUCAAAAUCAACAAUUUUUAAUGGUCGAUGUAUACCGUUUGCAAGUUUAACGGUGUAGAAAUGUUCAAAUCAGAUGAAAUUUUGAUAGGAAAUUCUUUAUACUAUUUACAGCAAGAUCUAUAUGUUUGAUCGAAAAUUUUCAUGCUAUAUCAGCACUUUUUAUAAGAUUUUUAUUUUCAGCCGUUGAUUUUGAAUUCUUUCAAUCGUUAGGUAAAUGAUAUUGAAAAAUCACAAAAUUUAUUUUCUGAAUACUUCAAAUAUGCUAGAUCAAGUCUAACAGAGCUGACCGUCGAUUCGGAAGCUCCAUUAUCGAAAACGCCUUAGGAGCACGAAGGCCUCCGUGCUCCUAAUAGCACACAAGACCUACUAUAUAUAUAUAUAUAUAUAUAUAUAUAGUUGAGCUAGAAUACUAUCGAUAGCAAACGGGUUCCGUUGCCACCCAUUUGUUUUCGAUGAUGGAGCCUCCAAAUCGACGAUCGGUACUGUUGAACAUGAUCUAUACCACUUGAAGUGUUUAGAAAUCAAAUUUUAUACAUUUUCGAUAUUGUUCUCUUAUCCAUCGAGUGGACACAAAAAUGAACUGCUGAAAAUGAAUAUUCCUUAAAAAAUGAUGAUAGGAGUCUUGUAAUCAAGAUUAAGAGUACAGAUCUUGUUUUAAAUAGUUUAAAAUAUUUUCUAAUAAAAAUUCAAUUGAUUUGGAUAUCUUUACGCCGUUAAACUAGAAAACGUCUCAUACCGACCAUUAAAAUUACAAAUUUUGAAACCCUUUGAUCAUUAGGCAAAUGAUGUCGAAAAGAUUUGAAAUUUAAUUUCUAAACACUUCAAGUGGUAUAGAUCAUGUUCAACGGUGCCGAUCGUCGAUUUGGAGGCUCCGUCAUCGAAAACAAAUAGGUGGCAGUGGAGCCCGUUUGCUAUCGAUAGUAUUCUUGCUCAACUCUAUAUAUAUAUAUAUAUAUAUAUAUAUAUAUAUAUAUAUAUAUAUAUAUAGUGCGUCUGGGGUGCUUUUGGAAGCACGGAGCACUCCGUGCUUCCAAGUUGUUUUCGAUGUUGGGACUUUCGAAUCGACGAUCGGCUCCGUUAGACUUGAUCUAGAGUAUUUGAAGUAUCUAGAAAAUAAAUUUCGCGAUUUUUCGAUAUCAUUUGCCUAGUGAUCGAAGAGGCUCAAAAUCAACGGCUGAAAAUAAAAAUCUUACAAAAUAUGAUGAUAUGAUAUUAAAAUUUUAGAUCAAAGUUAUUGAUCUUGUUUUAUAUGGUAUAAAGAAUUUUCUAUCAAAAUUUCAUGUGAUUUGGAUAUUUCUACACCGUUAAACUUGCAAACGGCUCACCACGGCCAUUAAAAU
Molecule: long non-coding RNA, 1530 nt
Filed under: Ananas comosus (pineapple)
Lineage: Eukaryota; Viridiplantae; Streptophyta; Magnoliopsida; Poales; Bromeliaceae
Description: long non-coding RNA (ACOM_LNC004825)
Source: RNAcentral